This 612-nucleotide ribosomal RNA is filed under the name Triticum aestivum (bread wheat). RNAcentral's name for it is "partial small subunit ribosomal RNA". Lineage: Eukaryota; Viridiplantae; Streptophyta; Magnoliopsida; Poales; Poaceae. The record is from RNAcentral.
AUGGCGGCAGUGUCCAAGAAGGCUCUGGUAACUAUGGCUGUUCUGGCGUUGGCCGUUCUGGCCCCGCCUGUCGCCGGGCUGGUGCCGUACGGCGUCAGCAGCGGGCUGUGGGACCUGCUCGACGACCCGUUCCGGGUGCUGGAGCAGACACCGCUCGCGGUGCAGAGGCCGGCGUCCGCAGGCGGCCCGGGAGCGUCCAUCCCUUCGGCGGUGGCGCUGGCGAGGUGCGACUGGAAGGAGACACCCGACGCGCACGUCAUCUCGCUCGACGUGCCCGGGGUGAGGCGGGAUGAUGUGAAGGUGGAGGUAGAGGAGAACCGGGUGCUGCGGGUCUCCGGCGAGCGCAAGGCGGACGAGGAGAAGGAGGGCGAGCGGUGGCACCGCGCCGAGCGCGCGGCGGGGAGGUUCUGGCGACGGUUCCGCAUGCCCGCCGGCGCCGACGUCGACCGCGUUACCGCGCGCCUCGAGGACGGCGUGCUCACCGUCACAGUGCCCAAGAUUGCGGAGCACCAAAGGCGAGAGCCGCGCGUCAUCAACAUCGCCGGGGAGGACGCCAACAGCGGCGGCAAGGGCGCGGACGCGGAGGUCAGGCCGUCGAAGGCCGAGAUGUAA